This 463-nucleotide long non-coding RNA is filed under the name Coffea arabica (coffee). RNAcentral describes it as "long non-coding RNA (CARA_LNC003949)". Lineage: Eukaryota; Viridiplantae; Streptophyta; Magnoliopsida; Gentianales; Rubiaceae. The record is from RNAcentral.
CAGAGUACGAUAUUGGAGUUGGACCCAUCCCAUCCCCCCGAUCCCAGUUCCCCACCCACCACCACUCUUGGCUCCGUUAAAAAGACUUUAGAGACUGCUGCAAAAAUAUGCAAAGUGUAUUUCUAGCUACUACUCAAAAGGGAAGGGCGUGUUUAGAUAGUAGUAGCUGAGUAGUACUAUUAGAGUAUUAAUACUGAAUGAUGAUCAUACAACACCUAGAUUAUCCCAGUGGAAAGGGCACCUAAAAAUAGUAGUUUGUUUAGCUUUGGCUGUAUUGUGGUAGCCUGGUAGGGAGGGGAUGCACGCAGGGACAGAGAGCAGGGGAGGGGAGAACAAAGAGAAGGUUUGGCGAAUGGACAAUGGACAGAUGUCAACGUUGCUGUACAGACCACCGCUCCUUUCCUUUGCUUUCCUUUCCUGCUUGCGUUUCUACAGUGGACUUGGAUUUUAGAUUUUAUAAGAU